AAAGAGACGACAUACCCUAAGUAAUGGAGAGGUACUCAGUUCCUAAGCCCCUAAAGCAACUGGGAAGCAAGCGAUUUGAAGUGGACACACUUACCCCAUGAUCAGGUCUCUCUGAAGGCAGCAGAUAUCUAUCAUCUCUCCUAAAAGUGCAGACCGGCGGAGGACUAGUUCUGAGUCACUUAAUGAGGCAGCAGGUAACAGUGGCGGUUUCCUAGGGGCGGGGCUAAGUAGCCAUGCGCACAGCCGGGCGCAGGCCCAGUUGCCUUUCUCGGCCCGCACUCCUACGUGGAAAAGGGGUGUGUGUCAGAGCGACAGCUGAUGAAACCACUUCAAAUGGAGGCAAUGGACAACCAUUGAAGAUUUUUGAGCAAGGAAGUAAAAUGGCAACACUAAGCAGAACAGAUUUGGAUUGUGGGCAUGGAAAAAGAACAAAGAUAAAUGAGUCUGUUAGGAUAUCGCUGCAACUGAAGCUGCAAUGGACAAGAGAAGUGAAAAUGGAAAUUAAUAAAACUCUUAAGUUUUCCAAGGUCAGCAGCCCAAAGGAAGACACUUACAGACUGAUAGCUCUGUACAAGCCAGUAUGGUGAACCAUCAGAUGCUACUUCAGAGACCUCUUAAGAAUCUAACUGUUUCUGUUUUCAAUUAGCUGAGCUUGCACAUUUGAAAAUUGCCACUAGAAGAGGAUGCCAUGAAGAAGUGACCAUGUAGCCCAUUUCAUUUUGCUAGACUGUAAUUUAAUCUUUGGAAAUAAUAAGUUGUUGUUAUAGCUGAAUAUAAACUAAAAGUGUUAUUUGCCAUUUUCCACAAACUUGUCAUAUAAAGAGCAAUAAAACCAUUCUACC
This 842-nucleotide long non-coding RNA is filed under the name Zalophus californianus (California sea lion). RNAcentral describes it as "lncRNA (ENSZCAG00015016707.1)". The record is from RNAcentral. Lineage: Eukaryota; Metazoa; Chordata; Mammalia; Carnivora; Otariidae.